RNAcentral lists this microRNA precursor (127 nucleotides) under Oryza sativa Japonica Group (Japanese rice). RNAcentral describes it as "mir-166 microRNA precursor". Lineage: Eukaryota; Viridiplantae; Streptophyta; Magnoliopsida; Poales; Poaceae. The record is from RNAcentral.
CUUCGUCGAGAUCUUUUCAAAAAGGAGUACAUAAAAUGUGAGAUGAAACCUGGAGAAGCUUUGGAUGAUUAUCUUGGUAGAUUUAAUAAGAUUUUGAGUGAUCUUUGAUAUGUUGAUUUUGCUUAGG